RNAcentral lists this long non-coding RNA (234 nucleotides) under Nicotiana benthamiana. RNAcentral's name for it is "long non-coding RNA (NBEN_LNC001024)". The record is from RNAcentral. Lineage: Eukaryota; Viridiplantae; Streptophyta; Magnoliopsida; Solanales; Solanaceae.
AAUUUCCGUCAAGUGUGUCUAUCCAGCUAAAUAUUAAGUUGUGGAAACCAUAAGGUUUGCCGACCAUGCUUCGUGCAUAUUCCCAAGCAGCAGUCUCAUUAAACUUGGCACGGAGAUCAGGAUGCAAAGGGAGCAAUGCAAUAUGUGGAUUGGAAUCAUCUUUUGUCAGCUCAAACUCCCACCAUUCCUCCCACGGUAAAAUAGCAAUUACAUCUUCUCCCUGAAAAUAGAUAC